Molecule: long non-coding RNA, 4065 nt
Organism: Gorilla gorilla gorilla (western lowland gorilla)
Lineage: Eukaryota; Metazoa; Chordata; Mammalia; Primates; Hominidae
Exons: 2
Source: RefSeq, a predicted model, not a curated record
AAGGGCUGGGUGCGGCCCACCUGGAGCUGGACUGGAGGCUGUGUUGGGUGGGGCGGUGUGACCUGGAGGUGGGCUGCCCCCUCAGGAGACAGCUUCACCCCUGUCAGUGGACCUCAUCCUUCCUUCCUUCCACUCGCAUGGACAGCACAUCUGUGUGUACACAGGGUCACCGAGAGAGGCCAAGGAGGGUGAGGAGGAAGAUCCCAGGUGUGGGGGGAGUCCUGGGGGAGCAGACAGCAGGGACAGAAGCCUGUGGCAGGAAGGAAGGUCUUGGCCUGUGUUCUCCCAGCAAGGGUCCCCUUGGACUUGGAAUUCUAUAGGCUCCUGGCCCCCCCAUCUCUCCCGUGGUCUGCAGGACCUCGACACAGAGCUGUGGCUGGUGUCUCGGGGCAGACAUGGGGCUGAGCAGACCCCAUGGAACACUAUUAUCCAGUGUGGGGGGCCUCAUGGAGGUUCCCUGGGCACUUACUUUCACUUGCCUUCUGCCCCCCACUCCUCUCCCCUCCCAUCCUCACCCCCAGAGUGGUUUUUGGGAGCCCGGCAGCUAUCAGGAGCCAUGUGCACCCCUGGACACCUCCCUCCCUCGCAGAGGGUCCUGGUUCAUCUCGUCUGUUGCCUCUUAGAACAGUGGCCUCUACCUCGCCAGGUCCUUCAGAAGCGCCCCCCUCCCUGCCCCGCCACUGUUUUCCCAACAGCACCCGCCGUGGUCUGAAGACACUUUCUUCUGCUCCUGUUUAUUGUUUAUCUCCCCGAAGCACAAGCAGUCGAGUUAAGACAGGAGCCUCGUUCAAAGUUCCGCCCGGGGCCAGGCACAGCGCAGGCUCUCAGAGGAGGGACCAGGAGUCCACAGGCUGCGGCGGCGCGAGACAAAAGUCGGAAGACAGGACCCCGCUGAGGAGUGAGGAGACAGCGGCCAGCCCUCCGCCAGACCCUUCCGCCUGGUGCCUUUACUGGACUCUGAGGAGGAAUUUGGUGGUUCAGUCGGCCCAUCAGUGGACACCAUGAAAACAAAGAGAAAACAGACACACACAGAUGCACACAUAGAUACACACAGAUGAUACACACAGACACAGAUAUAUAGACACACACAGAUACACGUGGACACAGAUACACACAUAGACACAGAUAUAUAGACACACACAGAUACACACAUGUGGACACAAAGAAACACACACAGAGACACACAGACAUACCCAUAGUUACGGAUAUAUGCAUGGAUACACAAUACACAGACACACAGAUGAUACAUGCAUAGACAGAUACAUGGACACACACACACGGACACACAGAUACACACAUAGACACAUGGACAGACACAGAUACAGACACAGGCACAUGUAGACACACAUGGACAUACAAUACUCAGAUGAACACACAGAUAAUAUACACAUAGACACAGAUCUAUAGAUACACAAACACAUACACACAGAUAUACAUAGAUGCACACAGACAGAGAUACACAUGUCAUCACACAUGGACAGACACACACACCAAUACACACAGACAUGCAAAGACACAGGUACACAGACACAUAUACACACAGACACACAUAUAUACACACAGACGCAGAUAUACACACAGACAUACACACACACACAUAGACACAGAUAUACACAGAUACAUGGACAGAUACACAUUCACAUACACACAUAGAUACACAGAAACACAGACACACAGACACAUAGAGACACACACACAGCCACACAGGCCCUGAGCCUCCCUGGGCCCUCCCUUGUGCAGAGGCGGAGGGGUUGGCUGUCGGGGAGGGCACCUGGAGAGGACACACAGCCCCAUCAGAGACCAGGGAGUGGCUCUGGGAGCUCUUUUCAUCCAAAGGGGCUGGAGCUCCAGUUAGCCAAGGUGAGGGCGUGGAGGAUUCCUGGGGGAAGCUUCGUGCUGCAAGGUGGAAAAGACAGAUAACAAGAGAAAAACAGAAGCUUAAUAGCAUGUAUACCUUGGUCUGCACAGGACGGACUCAGGGGACAGGCUAUGUCUCAAAGACGUGGCUUGGAGCUCAGCCUUAAAGACCACGUUCGACGGAAACAAAGAGAAAGAGUGUGUGGGGAACGGCCCAAGAAAUUACCCCAAACUGGGGUCAGGCCUUCUCCGUGGAUGAGCGUCUCCGGUGACUUACAGGCGGCCUUCUGGCCCAGAGAGGGGGCACCCUGGUGAGCGCAGAUGCCUGUACGGAUGUGACUUUCUCUCACAGAACAGCAGCUUCCACUCUUGUUUUCAGAAUUUCUCCUGUGGUUGCAGUUUCUCAAAAUAAGCAGCUCAAAAUAAUGCUUAUGCCAAAGAGGCAUAUUUUGGGGUGGCAUAUUCUGGUCUGCUCUACGUGGAAGCGGACAGAAAAAUGGGGCAGAGGCCGGGGAGGGGAGCGGGACCGACUUCCAGUUCCCAGACCCGAGCAAGGGAACCUGAGGCUGAGCUCUGGACCGUGGGGUCUGGAGGGGUUCUCUGAGGACACUCUGGGAGUGGGGGGAACAGCUCCCUCCUCAGGUUUCCCCCAAGGGAUCCUGCCUGGGGAGACCUGGACUGGACAAGGCUUGGCAGCUGCCCUGCCAGGAGGAGGGAGACAGGGCUGCAGUGGGGGGGUGCAGGGUCGCUGGGGUCCCACCCGGGGGUGCUGGGACUGGCCAGAGGACACACUGCGAUUUCCCAGUGGGCCAGGAAGGAAGGAGGCGCUUUCCAGGCAGAGCAUGACCCCGCACAGGAGGCAGAGACAGAGUCUCUGAGUGUCCCCGUCAGGUCCCUGGGACUGUGGCAGGGGAAGAAGCCGCAGUACCUCCUGCCCUUUAGGACAGGAGAGGUUGUCAUCCCAGCAUUGCCCAGCAGCUGGCUGGAGCCCAGGGCUCCUCAGAUGAGCCAGCGCCUGAGCCCUGAGCUGCCAGCUGGCCUGGCUGGAGCCUCCACUGAUCUUCCCAGGAGAAAGAGGCCGCUGUGCGUAAGUAGCCAGGUGUAAGAGGAAGCGUAGAGCCGUGUCGCUCGUGCAAGAAGGGGAAAGAAGGAAGCCUGUCUGCAUGGCUGCGCAGGGGAUAUUGGAACAGAACUGAAGGAACUCAUGCAACGCUCAUCUGUGAAGGGGGCACCGCGAUGUAUGGACAAGGGUGGGAAAGGGAUGCUGGGCCAUAAAGUUUGGGCUGCGUGAUGGCGUGGAGGAGAAAGCCCUCCUGGGAGCUGUGGCCAGGGGGUGUGCAGUCCACGAGCAGAUGGAGCUUUAUGUGCCUCCCACCUCCUCCCAGGGGCCCCCCACGACUCGCUGAGGCCCCAUCAGCAACAGGAUGACGGGUUUUCUUUCCCACACAGAUUGGGGACGUCCCAGCCUCCUGGGGUGGGGCAGAGGCGGGCACCGCAGCCCAAGAGCUGGCUUUCCCCCUGCACCUCCACCCAUGCGUUGGCCUGGAGUGGCCCAGCAGAGGGUCCAGGUGGGGGUGCUGGAGGGGCCCACCCAGCUCAGGCCUGGCACCUGCACCUUUCUGGAUCCCACGAUGUUUUGCUGAGGGUUACUCAUCCAAGGCCUGCCCGGAGGCUCCGAGCUGUUUACCACAGGCCAGCUCUGGCCGUAGGCUAUUCUGGGAGCCUGGGGGGGCUGGGAGGAGGCUGGGGCUCUGGGUGGCAGGAGGAGGAGAGCCGUCUUGUCCUUACUGAGCAUCCAGCGGGCGCCAGAUGCUGCGCCGCGUGCAAUUCUAAUCCUGGCCGGCAAAGCCAGAACGGGACAAUAUUCCUUCCUCCCCUGGCCUCCCGCUUGGCUGCGGGUGCUGACGGUCAAUGGGCCUGGCUAUCGGGGCUCACAGGGGAGCCGGGAGAGCCGCCAGCAGGAGAAAAUGUGAGCUCUGCAUCUGCUGGGCUGGGUUCGAGGGACGCGGGGUGGCUGGGGAGGGUCGUGCUGGUCCCUCUGGCUGCUGUCGCUGGCCGGCCGGCCAGUCCGCCCCAGCGCUGGACUCCUGGGCUAUCCGUUCCCCACCCACCGUCUGAGGGUCUUUGAAAAUAGAACUCACUUGUUUUCAUUAAAAGCAACAGAUCAAGAAGCCGAAAACACAAGAAUAAAACAAUGUAAAAGCUUGA